RNAcentral lists this ribosomal RNA (495 nucleotides) under uncultured bacterium. RNAcentral describes it as "partial 16S ribosomal RNA". It matches the Rfam family "Bacterial small subunit ribosomal RNA", at positions 28 to 507 of the family's 1533-position model. The record is from RNAcentral.
GACGAACGCUGGCGGCGUGCCUAAUACAUGCAAGUAGAACGCUGAAGGAGGAGCUUGCUUCUCUGGAUGAGUUGCGAACGGGUGAGUAACGCGUAGGUAACCUGCCUGGUAGCGGGGGAUAACUAUUGGAAACGAUAGCUAAUACCGCAUAAGAGUAGAUGUUGCAUGACAUUUGCUUAAAAGGUGCAAUUGCAUCACUACCAGAUGGACCUGCGUUGUAUUAGCUAGUUGGUGGGGUAACGGCUCACCAAGGCGACGAUACAUCGCCGGCCUGCGAGGGGGAACGGCCACCCUGGGACCGAGACACGGCCCAGACUCCUUCGGGAGGCAGCAGUAGGGAAUCCUCGGCAAUGGACGGAAGUCUGACCGAGCAACGCCGCGUGAGGGAAGAAGGUUCUCGGAUCGUAAAGCUUCGUUGUAAGAGAAGAACGAGUGUGAGAGGGGAAAGUGCACACUGUGACGGUAUCUUACCAGAAAGGGACGGCUAACUACGUG